CCGAUUUCAACCCUUACCGAUAACGUGUAAGGGUAUAUCAAGGUUGUUGAACUCUGCAUUACAUUUUCUUUUUGGUACAACAUAUUUAUAUAAUAUGACAUUGAACUUUACAACAAUUAUGAACGAUGGCUUAUAUUUUUAAAAAGAAAAAGAGGAAAAAAGAAGCUUUCAUUAUAGGAAGCCAUAAAAGUUAGCAUAAAACAUUAGAAAACAGUGCACAAAAGGAAUCAGGCAUAACAGCAAAAAAAAAAAACCUCAAAAACAUAAGCUCAAAGUCACAGGGAGCCUGGCUGCAGGCUCAUUGUCCAUCCGUAGCUGCGACAGUAAUGGACCCACGACUGAAAAAAGUAGGUGGUUGCAACUCAACGUCGAAAAGGAGGCCACCACCUGACCAGGGGAAAAGAAAAAGCUACGGUGGGCUCGCCUAGCCUCACCAACGGAGGAAAAAGGAGUCACGAAACGCUCAGAUAGUUCCUCUUGGAAGCUCGACACUGUCACCGCCUGAGUCACCCCUGAAUCCGUCGGAGCCUUAUUUUUGUAGAGAGAAGAAAGAUUGUCUUUUUGAUCAACAAGAUAAAUGAGCUUAGACAACACUCCAUACCAGC
RNAcentral lists this long non-coding RNA (605 nucleotides) under Gossypium raimondii (Peruvian cotton). RNAcentral describes it as "long non-coding RNA (GRAI_LNC004187)". Lineage: Eukaryota; Viridiplantae; Streptophyta; Magnoliopsida; Malvales; Malvaceae. The record is from RNAcentral.